Molecule: long non-coding RNA, 143 nt
Organism: Amblyraja radiata (thorny skate)
Lineage: Eukaryota; Metazoa; Chordata; Chondrichthyes; Rajiformes; Rajidae
Exons: 3
Source: RefSeq, a predicted model, not a curated record
CUUCCUUACUGCCGAUUCGACCUGCAAAUUAACUUUUUGGGAAUCCUGCACCAGCACUCCCAAGUCCCUUUACACAUCCGAUUUCUGGAUUCUCUCCCCAUUCAGAAAAUAGUGUGUGCCUUUAUUCCAAUUACCCAUAUACA